Molecule: ribosomal RNA, 319 nt
Filed under: Aurantiochytrium limacinum
Lineage: Eukaryota; Bigyra; Thraustochytrida; Thraustochytriidae
Description: partial Bacterial large subunit ribosomal RNA
Rfam family: Bacterial large subunit ribosomal RNA
Source: RNAcentral
UACGGGCGUAUGGUGGAUGCCUUGGCAUGCUGAGCCGAUGAAGGACGUGUGAGGCUGCGUUAUGCCUCGGGGAGUUGCCAACAAAGCGUUGAUCCGAGGAUGUCCGAAUGGGGAAACCCAGCACCAGUUGUGUGGUGUUACCCGCAGGUGAAUUCAUAGUCUGUGUGGGGGUUGACGCGGGGAAGUGAAACAUCUCAGUACCCGUAGGAGAAGAAAACAAUUGUGAUUCCGUGUGUAGUGGCGAGCGAUAGCGGAUGAGGCUAAACCGUGUGCGUGUGAUACCUGGCAGGGGUUGCGUGUGCGGUGUUGUGGGGCGCAA